UCGUUCUGUGAGUGGUCUGUAAGGCUCUCUCGGGGAGGAGAGCGGUAGGGGGCGCUGGGUGGCGCCCAGGGCCGCUGGAGUGCCCCCGGGAGAUGGUUACCCUCUGCGUUGCAGAAGACCCUGGCGUACUCACUGUCGCUUUAUUUCGUCUAUGUCACAGGCGGGAUCAUGUAGUUGUGGACACAAUCGUCCCAACCUCCCAAGAGUUCUUGCCUUCAUUCACCGUAGUGGUGCUAGACUUGUAGUUUACAAGACUGAGAUCAUCCCUCACCUCCUCCAGCCACCAGCCCCAUCAUGUCCAGCUUGGGUAGAUGUGGAAUAGGGUCCACGCUGUAAGGUAGGCUGUGUU
RNAcentral lists this long non-coding RNA (349 nucleotides) under Phascolarctos cinereus (koala). Its description in RNAcentral is "lncRNA (ENSPCIG00000034107.1)". The record is from RNAcentral. Lineage: Eukaryota; Metazoa; Chordata; Mammalia; Diprotodontia; Phascolarctidae.